GGCAGGGGCGGCGCGGGGCUCGGGCUGGGCUGGGCUGGGCUGGGCUGGGCGGUGCCGGCGGGUCCCGCGGCAGAACAGCGGAGGAGCGUCCGGCCCCACGGGGGUUCGCUCGUGGAGGUGGCAGGAAACAUCGGGCCGCUCUUCAUGAAGUGAGAGUUUUCCAGGCCAGGCUUUGGAAGGAGGAGGCCCUCGUGAAAAACAAUAGGGGAUCAUGUAAUUAAAGACUAUCAUGAUGAGAUGAGCCACAGGCCUCAAUUAAAGGUCACAGUUUAGAUGCAUGAAGGAGCCUGUCCCCAGUGUCAGAUGUCCGAGGAAGGCAUCUCAAAGCAUCAUGCUCUUUGGCCCCUCUCCAGUGGCCGGGGCAUUUGGCAGAGCAAGUACCCUGUACCUGCUCCGGAUGUUUCGUUACCUCCGUGAGAUCCUAAUGGGGCAACAGCGAGGGAGCCUCGGCCUUGGCAUGGCCAGCAUGAAGAAAGAAGUUCGUUUCUUUCCCUCUCUUGUGUAGUUCCUCGUGCUGGAAGCUCCCUGCAGUGUGUGGUGCUGUGGGUACUGAAGACCUGCACUGACUCACCAAAUUUACAGUGUAUUUUAAGAGCUGGGUUUACCCCAGAUGGUAUCCUGCAAGAGCAAAAUAUUUUGUUUCUUGCCAAAUAGAAGGUAGGUCAAAUAAUUAGGGUGUUUUUUCUGCAAGUGUUGCUAGUACAUCCUUCUCUCUCACCAUGCCACUCAUCAUCUCAGAGACAAAAUUUGAUUAAAAUUUUUCUUGUGUUUUGAAACAGAAAGCGGAAGUGGGUUUUGUGUACUCUAAAAAAUUGACUGAAGAGCCACAAAUAGGUUGUCUAUUAAAAUAAGAAGGAUUUUAAGUAUCUUAAGGUCUACUCCACUUCAGCUGGGUGAUCCCCGACUUGCCAAAAUUUCAGCUCAUGUCAACCUCGUGAAGUUCCUGUCUUAAGGCCUCCUUGGCAUCAUAUAUUUCAUUAAAACUAAGUAAGCACCCAAAACUCGGCAGUCGCUGUGGCUCAUCCUCUGCAGCCUCCAGCCUCUAUAUGGGAACAGCUGCUGUGGGAUGUCCCCAGACGCUUUCAUCUGCAGGAUGGCUUCUCUGUGUCAGGACGAAACAGCCAGAACUCAGAAAUGCCAAGUUACUGCUGUUUAACGAGUUACCACAUCACUUCAACCACAGAAAUACGUUGUUUGUGCUCGUAUUUCCUGUUGGAAAUGAGAGAUUUAAGUACAUCAGCCUGAAUCUCUGCAGAUCUAAGACAGAGCGCUUUGCCUUUGCCGGGGACUGAGAGCUUUUAGCUACUGCUCCAGCACAAGGACUUGCUCAGUGGCAGGGACCACUUAAGUGUUUGAGCCCUUACAUGUAUUUUAACAAGAACUAAAUUAGCUUGGUGUAAACUGGGGACACUCAUCGUUGCUAAACAGCUCUCCUUGGCACCAGAAGCUCUUCUAGGCAUAUAUACGAGAGUGCCUCUGUUCUCAUAAUUAUAGUAUCGCUACCAGCAUGCUAUAAUUAGACAAGUUAAAAAUUGUCUGAGCUCCUACUUCUUGCUGAAAUGUGCUAAAUUCCGGAUGCGGUUGUCACUGAGAAAAAACACUUAGAAGCUUUAGCUCCAGCAUAGGCGUUAUCCUCACACCCUCCUCACCUUUCACUUCAAUGGAGCUUUUUGUGUGGACUUCUUAACGUGCAUGGAUGGUCUUUGUAAACAGCUCUUGUCUUCUUAUUAUAUACCAGGAGAAGCAUUAGCGGCUCAAUGGAGUGUAUUUUUUAAAAUAAUUCCUUUAUGCCACCUGCCAGUCUUAAGUGUCAGGGUUUUGUUAUUUUAUUACAGCAGUUUCUCACUGAGUUUGUUUGUUUUCUGUGUUUGGGGCUGUGUAGAGCAUCCUCUGAAACAUGGAAAGAAUAAUAGUUUCGUUCUUUUAUUCCGUGUGAGGGGUCUGUGCUCCUCAUCCCUUACCUCUUGCAGAUAGCAGGUGCAGGCUCUGCACGGCAUGGACAAGAGGUUCUAGCUUUGAACUGCUGCCAAAUUCAAUCAGCUGUCAUCUUCGAUGUAUCUUGGUUUCUUCAAUCUACUUUUGUGAGGGGAAAAAAAAAGCAUCACCAAGGCCUAUUUGCUUUUUGCUAUAAUCACUCCUCCUCGUAUCAUUUUGACAAGGUAGUUGCCUUGUUACAUCCCUUGUAUGGAUCAUUGGUCGUGUUGCUUUUUAUAACCAUCACAUUUUUGCUCCAACCCUGCAGUGAGAGCACUGACAGCAGCGAAAGGCAGCUCAGAGCUGACGCUUCUGGCCCAGUUCUCAUGCACAGAGUAGCAGGGGAUUCAUCAUCAGAGGCUCUCAUCAGAAAUCCCCAUUCUUCGCAUAGUUUCUUAUUUGUCUUCUAGCUCUUGGCAGGCUGUCUGCUUCCACCCACAUGGUAAAGGCUUGUCUAAUAACGGCAGCAGCGUGAAGCCAUUAAGAUCAGAAUUACUGACUAACUGAGCCUAAAUCUCCCUUUUGAUAGUGGAGAGUUGUCUUCUUUAAAGGAAAGCAGGGAGUGGGUUUCUGACAUGGAAGCAGUAAUGUGUGCUGGCCCUGAACGCUAAGUCAGGCUGAUGUGCACAUCUCUUCUUCAGCCAUGUUUGCCCUGUGCCUGCAGCAGUGAGGUCCUGCCCCAGCGCCAAGGAGCUCCCGUGGACCAUGAGCUGGAGCAGAUUUAUUAACCACCCCUCCUGCUUCCAGGAGGUAGCUUUGUUAAGCUUGGAUCCUGUGUUUUAUUUCAAGAUACGGUGCUUGCCUUUCCCCUGCCCUUUCAUCAACCCCAGCCUCUGCCAGACCCAUGCAAAAGCCAGUCAUCUAAUUUCAUCUGGAGCAUCACUCUGACAAGGAGACUUAGUGAUCCCAGCACCUGGGCUUUAAAGGAUGUCUGUCCCCAGGGGCGGCAGGAUGGGCCGCACGGGCACUGAACAUCUUUGGACUUUGCUCUGUCUAUAUAAGCACCAUGGACUAGUUGCUGUGCUAACAUGUACAUUAAGCGGUGUUUCUUACUGCUCUGUUAUACUCUACAAUAGUGUGUAUUUUGCCAUGCAUCAGCAGGGGAAGCUUACACUCCUCAAAUGAAUUAUGUGCAUAAUGUUAGCUUUAUAAAAUAUGGAUCCCCAGUUCGUGAACACGGUACAGCACCCCACACCUAAUAGCACACAUACAGAACUGUGCCAGCAACCUGCCUGGGUAGCACAGAGUAAAGAUGGUCGUCUGUUGUCCAGAUGUUAUUUUAGCUUAAACAGAGGGUAAAGGCUUCUAGGAAAAUGAAGCUUGGCUAUUUAAACUCAUUUUUUGCCUGGUGGACUGUGUGUGUACAAUUUUCAUUCCUGGUAAACCCCAGAAUGCAUCAGGCAGACCACAGGUCAGUGAGAUGGGUCCCUCCUCUGGAAAACAAGCAAUUUGCACAAAUGUCCUGGUGUCUGGAAGAUGAAGGAAGGGUUGGAAUAAGUGUCUGUAGGCUUAUAGCUGUGGAGUAGCUCCCUGCAAAACCUUGGCCUGUCUGAUCUUUUCACGUUUCUCUUUCCCUUUGCAAUGAACCCUUUCUCCCAGGAAGAUGGAGUCUUCUUUGGAGAGUCUUGCAGAUGACACUCAUUCCCCUGAACAGUGUCUGUGAUGUCUUUUUUCAGGCUAUAGUGCCAUGGUCAGCUUAGUCUGGCUGCCAUCAAAGGCCUGGUCUGCUACUUUGCUCAUCACUUUUUGCAACUGCUUGUUCCAGCUGUCCAUUGUUGCCAUUUGCCUGGUCUCAGGGUUGAACCCUGGCUGGAAACUAACCCAGCACAAGCAGGAUUUGCAGGAAGUCUGCACCAGCAUGAGGGAAUUAAACUGGUCCCAGGCAGUUCUCUGGCACUGAGGGUGCCUGUGCCCAUGCUGCCAGACCCACUGUGGAGUGACCACCCACAGCCUCAGUUGAGAGUGGUGCUUCCUUGUGCCAGCCUCGAAAUCAUAAACAGGAGCUUGGCUGGCAGGUGGCUAGGAGGCAUUGCUCUUCUUAUUUAAGCAUGGAUGCCUGAGCUCCAGUGGCUGGUCACAUUUCCUGGCACGGCUUCAUUAAAUGAAUAGGUGUGGUCCAUAUGGCUGUGCGACCGAUGAACAAAGCCCUACCAUGGAAGAAGGCCCAGAGGAGGUAGGCAAGGAGAAAGCUUCAUGGGGUGUGCUCAUGAAGCUCAGGAAAGAACAUAGGAAGUGACCGCAGCUAUGGUAAAGGAAGCUGAACUUACGUAACCACAAAGGGGACCGGAGGGUGGCCUUUGUUGUAGACAGACCACUGUAUCAGUUGAGUGGAUCAACUGACUGCGUAAAUGGCCUUCCCUAGAAUAGUCAGCAGAAAGUAUUAUCUUCCUGAGUCAGCCAGACCCACAUGGGAAAGCAUAUAUAUGGCUCAGCCCAACAUGGAGUAUAAAAAUUGAACUACUGACAAAAUGAACAGUGGAGAGAACAAUGGCCUUGAGCUGGCUUCAAACCCACCUAUUGCUUCCCAGCAAAUGGAGAUGCCCAGCAUUGUGACAGUGAGCAUAUAGAGACCGGUAAUGAGAAUCGUGUUUGUAUUGCGAUUCAGCUGCGUAUUGCAACUGUUAUGUCAUGCUCGUGUUGUGAUUUCAAUAUGUUCCUGUAUCGGUCUGUGAAAUCAAAGUCCCAUGUAACAACAAAUAUUAUCAAAUAAGUAAUUUAGUAUCAAACAUCAAA
Long non-coding RNA from Columba livia (rock pigeon), 4707 nucleotides. RefSeq lists it as uncharacterized. The transcript is spliced from 5 exons. The record is from RefSeq and is a predicted model, not a curated record. NCBI's taxonomy places the organism in Eukaryota, Metazoa, Chordata, Aves, Columbiformes, Columbidae.